This 237-nucleotide unclassified non-coding RNA is filed under the name plant metagenome. RNAcentral describes it as "partial contains small subunit ribosomal RNA, internal transcribed spacer 1, and 5.8S ribosomal RNA". The record is from RNAcentral.
UUUCCGUAGGUGAACCUGCGGAAGGAUCAUUAAAAAAAGAGAAACGUCCCGUUCUUUUUCAUAAGAAUGGGUUCUAUUCCCUUAAACCGUGUCCACAUACCUUUGUUGCUUUAGCAGGCCGCCUUCGGGCGUCGGCUCCGGCUGAUAGUGCCUGCCAGAGGACCCAAACUCUAUGUUUAGUGAUGUCUGAGUACUAUAUAAUAUUCAAAACUUUCAACAACGGAUCUCUUGGUUCUG